Molecule: ribosomal RNA, 425 nt
Filed under: uncultured bacterium
Lineage: Bacteria
Description: partial 16S ribosomal RNA
Rfam family: Bacterial small subunit ribosomal RNA
Source: RNAcentral
GUGGGGAAUCUUGCGCAAUGGGCGAAAGCCUGACGCAGCCAUGCCGCGUGGAUGAUGAAGGUCUUAGGAUUGUAAAAUCCUUUCACCGGUGAAGAUAAUGACUGUAGCCGGAGAAGAAGCCCCGGCUAACUUCGUGCCAGCAGCCGCGGUAAUACGAAGGGGGCUAGCGUUGCUCGGAUUUACUGGGCGUAAAGGGCGCGUAGGCGGACAUUUAAGUCAGGGGUGAAAUCCCGGGGCUCAACCUCGGAACUGCCUUUGAUACUGGGUGUCUUGAGUAUGAGAGAGGUGUGUGGAACUCCGAGUGUAGAGGUGAAAUUCGUAGAUAUUCGGAAGAACACCAGUGGCGAAGGCGGCUUACUGGACUGUAACUGACGCUGAGGCGCGAAAGUGUGGGGAGCAAACAGGAUUAGAAACCCGAGUAGUCC